This 703-nucleotide ribosomal RNA is filed under the name uncultured Escherichia sp. Its description in RNAcentral is "bacterial SSU rRNA". It matches the Rfam family "Bacterial small subunit ribosomal RNA", at positions 33 to 726 of the family's 1533-position model. Lineage: Bacteria; Pseudomonadati; Pseudomonadota; Gammaproteobacteria; Enterobacterales; Enterobacteriaceae. The record is from RNAcentral.
ACGCUGGCGGCAGCCUAACACAAGCAAGUCGAACGGUAACAGAAAGCAGCUUGCUGCUUUGCUGACGAGUGGCGGACGGGUGAGUAAUGUCUGGGAAACUGCCUGAUGGAGGGGGAUAACUACUGGAAACGGUAGCUAAUACCGCAUAACGUCGCAAGACCAAAGAGGGGGACCUUAGGGCCUCUUGCCAUCGGAUGUGCCCAGAUGGGAUUAGCUAGUAGGUGGGGUAACGGCUCACCUAGGCGACGAUCCCUAGCUGGUCUGAGAGGAUGACCAGCCACACUGGAACUGAGACACGGUCCAGACUCCUACGGGAGGCAGCAGUGGGGAAUAUUGCACAAUGGGCGCAAGCCUGAUGCAGCCAUGCCGCGUGUAUGAAGAAGGCCUUCGGGUUGUAAAGUACUUUCAGCGGGGAGGAAGGGAGUAAAGUUAAUACCUUUGCUCAUUGACGUUACCCGCAGAAGAAGCACCGGCUAACUCCGUGCCAGCAGCCGCGGUAAUACGGAGGGUGCAAGCGUUAAUCGGAAUUACUGGGCGUAAAGCGCACGCAGGCGGUUUGUUAAGUCAGAUGUGAAAUCCCCGGGCUCAACCUGGGAACUGCAUCUGAUACUGGCAGGCUUGAGUCUCGUAGAGGGGGGUAGAAUUCCAGGUGUAGCGGUGAAAUGCGUAGAGAUCUGGAGGAAUACCGGUGGCGAAGGCGGCC